RNAcentral lists this ribosomal RNA (500 nucleotides) under uncultured bacterium. Its description in RNAcentral is "partial 16S ribosomal RNA". It matches the Rfam family "Bacterial small subunit ribosomal RNA", at positions 30 to 523 of the family's 1533-position model. The record is from RNAcentral.
AUUGAACGCUGGCGGAAUGCUUUACACAUGCAAGUCGAACGGCAGCACGGACUUCGGUCUGGUGGCGAGUGGCGAACGGGUGAGUAAUGUAUCGGAACGUGCCCAGUCGUGGGGGAUAACGUAGUGAAAAUUACGCUAAUACCGCAUACGAUCUAUGGAUGAAAGCGGGGGAUCGCAAGACCUCGCGCGAUUGGAGCGGCCGAUAUCAGAUCAGGUAGUUGGUGGGGUAAAGGCCCACCAAGCCAACGAUCUGUAGCUGGUCUGAGAGGACGACCAGCCACACUGGAACUGAGACACGGUCCAGACUCCUACGGGAGGCAGCAGUGGGGAAUUUUGGACAAUGGGCGAAAGCCUGAACCAGCCAUUCCGCGUGCAGGAUGAAGGCCCUCGGGUUGUAAACUGCUUUUGUACAGAACGAAAAGGUUUCUACUAAUACUAGGAGCUCAUGACGGUACUGUAAGAAUAAGCACCGGCUAACUACGUGCCAGCCGCCGCAGUAA